AGAGUUUGAUCCUGGCUCAGGACGAACGCUGGCGGCGUGCUUAACACAUGCAAGUCGAACGAUGAAGCCCAGCUUGCUGGGUGGAUUAGUGGCGAACGGGUGAGUAACACGUGAGUAACCUGCCCUUGACUCUGGGAUAAGCGUUGGAAACGACGUCUAAUACCGGAUACGAGCUUCCACCGCAUGGUGAGUUGCUGGAAAGAAUUUUGGUCAAGGAUGGACUCGCGGCCUAUCAGCUUGUUGGUGAGGUAAUGGCUCACCAAGGCGACGACGGGUAGCCGGCCUGAGAGGGUGACCGGCCACACUGGGACUGAGACACGGCCCAGACUCCUACGGGAGGCAGCAGUGGGGAAUAUUGCACAAUGGGCGAAAGCCUGAUGCAGCAACGCCGCGUGAGGGACGACGGCGUUCGGGUUGUAAACCUCUUUUAGCAGGGAAGAAGCGAAAGUGACGGUACCUGCAGAAAAAGCACCGGCUAACUACGUGCCAGCAGCCGCGGUAAUACGUAGGGUGCAAGCGUUGUCCCGGAAUUAUUGGGCGUAAAGAGCUCGUAGGCGGUUUGUCGCGUCUGCUGUGAAAUCCCGAGGCUCAACCUCGGGUCUGCAGUGGGUACGGGCAGACUACAGUGCGGUAGGGGAGAUUGGAAUUCCUGGUGUACGGUGGAAUGCGCAGAUAUCAGGAGGAACACCGAUGGCGAAGGCAGAUCUCUGGGCCGCUACUGACGCUGAGGAGCGAAAGGGUGGGGAGCAAACAGGCUUAGAUACCCUGGUAGUCCACCCCGUAAACGUUGGGCGCUAGAUGUGGGGACCAUUCCACGGUUUCCGUGUCGUAGCUAACGCAUUAAGCGCCCCGCCUGGGGAGUACGGCCGCAAGGCUAAAACUCAAAGGAAUUGACGGGGGCCCGCACAAGCGGGGAGCAUGCGGAUUAAUUCGAUGCAACGCGAAGAACCUUACCAAGGCUUGACAUAUACGAGAACGGGCCAGAAAUGGUCAACUCUUUGGACACUCGUAAACAGGUGGUGCAUGGUUGUCGUCAGCUCGUGUCGUGAGAUGUUGGGUUAAGUCCCGCAACGAGCGCAACCCUCGUUCUAUGUUGCCAGCACGUAAUGGUGGGAACUCAUGGGAUACUGCCGGGGUCAACUCGGAGGAAGGUGGGGACGACGUCAAAUCAUCAUGCCCCUUAUGUCUUGGGCUUCACGCAUGCUACAAUGGCCAGUACAAAGGGCUGCAAUACCGUAAGGUGGAGCGAAUCCCAAAAAGCUGGUCCCAGUUCGGAUUGAGGUCUGCAACUCGACCUCAUGAAGUCGGAGUCGCUAGUAAUCGCAGAUCAGCAACGCUGCGGUGAAUACGUUCCCGGGCCUUGUACACACCGCCCGUCAAGUCAUGAAAGUCGGUAACACCCGAAGCCAGUGGCGCAA
RNAcentral lists this ribosomal RNA (1418 nucleotides) under Plantibacter cousiniae (nom. nud.). Its description in RNAcentral is "Plantibacter cousiniae 16S ribosomal RNA". It matches the Rfam family "Bacterial small subunit ribosomal RNA". Lineage: Bacteria; Bacillati; Actinomycetota; Actinomycetes; Micrococcales; Microbacteriaceae. The record is from RNAcentral.